UACGAAGGGGGCUAGCGUUGCUCGGAAUUACUGGGCGUAAAGCGCACGUAGGCGGCUUUCUAAGUCGGAGGUGAAAUCCUGGAGCUCAACUCCAGAACUGCCUUCGAUACUGGAGAGCUUGAGUCCGGGAGAGGUGAGUGGAACUGCGAGUGUAGAGGUGAAAUUCGUAGAUAUUCGCAAGAACACCAGUGGCGAAGGCGGCUCACUGGCCCGAUACUGACGCUGAGGCACGAAAGCGUGGGGAGCAAACAGG
Molecule: ribosomal RNA, 253 nt
Filed under: uncultured bacterium
Lineage: Bacteria
Description: partial 16S ribosomal RNA
Rfam family: Bacterial small subunit ribosomal RNA
Source: RNAcentral